This is a long non-coding RNA of Hipposideros armiger (great roundleaf bat), 3080 nucleotides long. RefSeq lists it as uncharacterized. The record is from RefSeq and is a predicted model, not a curated record. Lineage: Eukaryota; Metazoa; Chordata; Mammalia; Chiroptera; Hipposideridae. The transcript has 3 exons.
GUUUGCUCGUCUUGCGGAACACUUGCAAACCAAGUCACUCGCAAUCCAAGGUUUUACUGUAGUAGGAUUGCAACUUCACACAUAUGGGCAGAUUAAUUAACCUCUCUGAAUCUCAGGUGUCCUUAUCUUAAAAUAGAGAUGAUGAUGAUACCCAUUUGGAAUCCUGAGUGGAGAAUGCACAGUUCACCAACUGGACUUAACAGCAAGAUAGCAACCACCAUCUAACCUCUGACACCCUACCUCACACAAAAUGCCUCAGCUCAAAGGCCUUACAUAAGAGGUCUAGUUGGAAUCUAUGGAACAGAUGUCAUCCUUGACAUCUUUCAGCACUGCCUCAAACCCAAAAACCAGUUAGCAGGCAUUUUGGGGACCUUCUCAUUCCAGUCCUGCCUUCUGGUGAUCUUCCUACCAACCCUCUCAAUAAUUAUGCCACCUGGGAGCCCUAUUUAGCUACAAAUGAGGCACUGUACACUCAACCUCUUUAUUGAACAGUUCCUGCACUGUGUUCCCUCCCAAGGACACCCCAGUACUGAGCUGCCUUCAUAAGGAGGCUCUUCAAUCUCCCACUCUCUAUGCACUGCAAGGCCGAGACAUGGCCACCAGCUUGUGGCAGAUCCAAGUUUUAUGGGGACUACUAUAAAAUUCGGGGGACUCUUUAAGAAAAAUAUUAUAAAAUUAUGAAUACAAAUAUCUUGGGAUGUUUCUCUCUCACCUAGCUGGUCACUCUGCCACAUUCUUUGAGGACAUAGGAACCUAUAAUGACUACAAUAUGAAGGAGCGGGUGAUUCAUCCAAAAUCCCAGCUUCACAGGUCUUUUCCUUCCUCAGUGCCAAUGACCUCCACAUCCAUAGCACUUAAGCAAACCACUAGCAUGGCCGGCCACCUGUUGGACCUUGUUAUAACUUGCAACUGCUCCAACUAUGAAAUCCUAAACUUCAAAUUUCCAUUCAGACCACAACCCUGCUCCUCUAGCUCUUUACCUCUCAUGUGGAAGUCCUCCAUUAAUUUUUCUCCACAUGAUCAACUCCUCUCUAACAUUACUUACUUUCUCUUCCUGCUAUCCUAGGCCACUAGCAAGGGUGAGGUAAGGUAUCUGGGGGGCAAAAUUUAAGGAGGCACUCGUGCGCAGGGUCAUAACAAGUGCAGGAUAUACAAUAUGUGCCAUGAUGUAUUAUUACUUUAUUUUGUCACCAUCACACUGAACUUCUGAAACCCUUGACUUUUCUUUCCAUAAGCCCUGCAAAACCACAGUCUUUGAGCCAUCCAACCAUCUCAGUGUUUGUCCAAACGACUGAACAUGGCUGAGCAAGUGACAUACCACUGCAGAUGCGGGCCAAUACAAAUUACUGGUCUCCACCCCAAUUCAGCCCCCAAAUCUACCAGCAACCCUUUUGCAUGUCUGUUGGUUACUGCUUCUUCCAUUCCCGGCAGCAGUAUGGCAGACAUUGUUAGUUGUCUGCUCUGUUAAUACCCAUUCUCUUCCUUAGUCACAGCAACCCAGUUUCUUCCAAGUGACAAUAUGCCCAGCUAAAAGACAACUUCUUUCAGCCAUGAGAAGCCAAUGUGCUGAAACCUGAAGUUGGGUGGGUCUUCUAGAAAAACUCCUGAAGAGCAAAACUGAAGACAGAGAAGCAGCAAUGUGCCCUUGGUGCUCCCCACACCCCCUUUUCCUCCUCCUCCUCCUGGUUUCUACUUGGAAAAGGUAUCCUGAAACAUGAGGCAAUUUGAAGAUAAAGGCCAGGGCUAAGGAUGGUAGAGCGGAAAGAGAGGAGAUUGGAUUCUUCAUGACAGCAAGGAGCUACCAGCCCAGCCCUGGAUGGCUCACUUCCAGACUUCUUUAUGUGAAAGAACAACUUUGAUCAAGUUUCAGCCACUGCUAUUGCUGGUCAAACACAAUUUCUACCCACUAAUGCUGUUGGUCAUCCCAAAUUCUCAAUGCUCCCUACAAGUGUUAUUCCUGCCUUAACUUUAUUCAUUGGGGGAAAAAAUCGCUCAUUAGAUGCUAAUGCGCUUAAAUUCCUGCCUUUAGGCCUUCAUUUCCCUCCAAUCUUAAAGACUUUCUUCCGUCCAAGGCAAAACAUUGCAACCAGGUGUAGCUACUCUCCUCCUCAGAAUAUCCUAAUAUUCCCUCUCUCCACUGUCUGCACCAUCUCCCUGUCUCUCCAUUUAGGAGAUAAAAAUACCAAAAUAUCUUGCCUUAAAAAAAAAAAAAGUACAAAUACAGAGCAGUCUGUAUUUGCCAACUUCACUUUCAAACUGCCCAUCUAUCACCCCACAGACGGCUUGCUGUGGCUUUCUGUCCACCACCUUCCCCAACCAGUGGCAUCCUAAUUGCCAAAGCUGCCUCUUCCCUGAUGUUUCUCCUGGUAGCAUGAAGCAAGCUCGAGCACCUCCUGUGUGAAUCUUCCUCCUCUCAACAGGAGGCGGCCAGGAGCUCAGAGAAGCAGCGAUAACCUGCCCUAAUUCAACACACUUAAGUGGAGGGGAGAGUCGGAAGAGCGAGGGGAACAGGGGACUUGCCAGCCCUCUGGAAGAGCCAUCAACAGGGCGUCUCCGCGCACGAGUUCCAGAAGGGAGGAUUAAGGCUGCACCCAGGGCGUGACGCACACCACUGCUCCACACCUCGGGGUCCAAGCCCGGGUGGGCUUCUUCACUUGCUUUCUGGAGGUGCCCCAGGCCCGGGCCUAGAACAGGACGCAUGCGCGGGCGAAUGGUGGGGGCGGUGCCUGCUCCAUGCGCAGCACGUGGCCGACCCGUGGCGCAUAUAAAGGCGGCGCCAGCGCCAAGGCCGCUAUAGACGCUCCGGGUUGUAGACGUGUCUCUGGAAGUGUGCCGUGUGCCACCACAAAGGGUCCCAGUCUCAGACUUCGAGCUAGAGCAGCCUAGAAAAUGAACCCUUCAGAGAACAGUUUUGACAGCAACAGUGCCAGACCGUUUAUCGUGCACAGCAUGGCCCAGCAGCCUUACCCAAGUUUCUGGUACCAGAAUCCUGCCUAUAAUCCAGUCUUCGUUCCCGCGGCAGGACCCAGAAAUGGAAGCCUGUAUUUCCCAUAUUCAGUGGUGCCCAGUGAGUAUCCUGG